AAAUAUUUUUAACUUUUAAAUGUGAUCAAAGCAAUCUUUUUAAAUUUAUUUGAGUUUUUUUUUUAAUAAAAAUUAAAAUAAUUUGUAAUCAUUUUGGAAUAUUGAAAAAUAUUACAUAUGUGUACACACCGGUAUAAUUAAGAAUUUCAUAAGAUAUUCAAAGAAUUUCUAUUUGUUUAUAAAUUUACAUGCAACUGAUAAAUUCAAAAAAUUAGCAAUGUAAAUUUUCUCGAUUUUGAUGAUUUUGUGAAGUGAAAUUUUAAAAAUUUAAAAUCAAAAGGGGACAACUAAAAAAAGAAGAAGAAUUUUUCUAUAAUUGUUACAAGAGAAGAUAAUCAAAAAUUUAAUUGAGAAUUAAUUGAAAAAAACGAAGCUACUUUUUACAUACAUAUACAUAUUUAUUUUCAAUAAACGAAAAAUUGGAAUCUUCCUGCUUAAUCUGGAUUCUUUAUAGUGAUAUCAUUAAAA
Molecule: long non-coding RNA, 468 nt
Organism: Condylostylus longicornis
Lineage: Eukaryota; Metazoa; Arthropoda; Insecta; Diptera; Dolichopodidae
Exons: 2
Source: RefSeq, a predicted model, not a curated record